UAUCAUCAAUAUUUGGAUCUCUUAUAUGUGCCUGUGCUGCUGUAUAUUGGUUGGUGUUGAUUUGCAGUAAGAGGAAAUGUACUAUUGUUCUCAUCAAUUUCUUUCAUACCAUGUUAUAGAAAUAUGUUGUUUAAAUAUGAAGAGGCGGAUAAGUUUCUGGCUUUAGUUACUGACUAUCCAGAUCCGGCUUGCUUCUCAGCCAUGGCCUACAUUUAGAAGAAAUAUGUUGUUGAAAUAUGAAGAGGUGGAUAAGUUUCUGGCUUUAGUUACUGAAUAUCUAGAUCCGGCUUGCUUCUCAGCCAUGGUCUACAUUUAGAGAAGACAUGUUCAUAUGUAAGAGAUUUAAGGUCAAUGAUCUCCCCCUGUUGUAAUGCUCAUCAUCUUAAAUCGGACAUUGCUAUAUAUAUGCACCAUGGUUCAUGACUGUACUUUUUUCAUACGUCUUUACAAAGUUUGUCAGUAUUAUUAUGCAGAGACAACCUGUCAUGGUUCUGCGUUGAUGUGUUCGUUCAUUUGUCAGUUUCUUUUGCUUUGAAACAAUGUUGAUUGGCUGAAAGAAUGGUUGCGCGUGUCUUACACGCUUAUACCUACUUGAAAGUUAAAUUUUAUUAGCAAAUCCAUCGAGAACAAUGUCAACAUUUUACGUCUUGCUACAUGAAGCUAUGUACUGCAGGGUACAAUAGUGUUAACAUUUCCGGUGCUCAUUGACAAUAAGAUCGAAGAUGUAUUUUCUUGAUUGGAAAUAUUAUACCUCAAAUUUAAUUCAACUGUGGUUACAAUGACAACUUUAUGCCUUGAAUAACAAGUGAUUAUGUGAGUGUAGGAAUUAGGACUGGUGACAACAACAUGUGGAGCGGCACAACAAGUGGUGCUGUGGGGGCACCGAAGCAAGGGCAGUCAGGCAAAUCCAACGGCGUGAACGUCCCUAUGUAUAGCUUGGGAGGGGUCCCAUCGCUGACUGCGAUCGCCCUAUCUGGAGAAGGGGCACGUUGGUUCAUGAAACAAUCAACACGUCUUUAUGACUCGGAAUUAGGAAUCCUAUGCACUUUGCAUCAAAUUUGAAUUCCCAAAAGAGUUAUUCAUGUUAUGAUAGAAAUAUUUAUGUUUCAUAUUCGAGACGUGCGUUGCACGUACAUGAUUACUAGUUAAACUAACUAAUCUGGUUAAUUA
RNAcentral lists this long non-coding RNA (1170 nucleotides) under Triticum aestivum (bread wheat). RNAcentral describes it as "long non-coding RNA (TAES_LNC013371)". The record is from RNAcentral. Lineage: Eukaryota; Viridiplantae; Streptophyta; Magnoliopsida; Poales; Poaceae.